GCCGGAGUAGCUCAGGUGGUUAGAGCAAUGGAAUCAUAAUCCAUGUGUCGGGGGUUCAAGUCCCUCCUUCGGUACCA
This 77-nucleotide transfer RNA is filed under the name Ignavibacteria bacterium. RNAcentral's name for it is "tRNA-Met". It matches the Rfam family "tRNA". From Rfam's summary of the family: Transfer RNA (tRNA) molecules are approximately 80 nucleotides in length. The record is from RNAcentral. Lineage: Bacteria; Pseudomonadati; Ignavibacteriota; Ignavibacteria.